Molecule: long non-coding RNA, 2129 nt
Organism: Oncorhynchus gorbuscha (pink salmon)
Lineage: Eukaryota; Metazoa; Chordata; Actinopteri; Salmoniformes; Salmonidae
Exons: 3
Source: RefSeq, a predicted model, not a curated record
UCCUGCUAACUGCGAUAAGGAGUGGGCUGGACAAUGCCGAGAGAUGAGUUUCAGAUUGUUCUGCGUUGUAGCAUCUUGUGUCUAUAAAAUGAGAUGCUCUUUAUGCGUACACAAUCCUUUCGGCUGCAGUUAAAAAAAAAAAUAUAACGUUAAUCAUGGAGAACUGCAAAUAUGUUACACUAACAACAAAGGAUAGAGGGAAAAAGUUGUGAUGGACUACUUUCUGGAGGAUGAUCGUGUCAUGCUGACAUUGUAGUCUUCUGAUGACAGUGAUGGAUGGGGAAGGAACGGCGAUCAACCAUCAAAAGGACACACCUGACAAUCCUCCACCAGUCAUACAAAGAGAAUGGUCUAAUGCCUCCCAUCAAAAAGAGCAGUGUGGCGUCUCUACAAGGAAUCGAUGACAACACUUUGAUUAUUUAAUUAACCUGUAACAUGAUUGGCUGUACUUUUAUUGAUAUCACAUUAUUUCUGUCUCUAGGGGCCCCUAACUGAACUAGCCACAGUCUGGACCUUCAUUUCCUGACCAUAUGCCACACCAAGUAUGCCCCAGACAGGUGCUUCGGCCUCAUUAAGCAGCGCUUCAGAAAGACCAGAGUGAACACUUUGUCUGAGAUUGCUGGUGUUGUGAAGGACAGCACCAUGACAGGGGUCAACAUCACACAGCUGGUUGGACUGGAAAAUGAUACGGUGCUGGUGGAAAGCUUUGCCUGGGAACAACACCUGACUCUGUACCACAGAUCAAGCAGUACCAGCAUUUCAGCUUCGAUGCUCUGGAGCCGUGUGUUUUUGUAGCUAAGGAGCGUUCGGACUGUCGGGACCAGGUUUCAGCUGCUGCGCAAAGCUGACAUCCUUCCUCCCAUAGUUGGUCUGCCUGUACAACACCACCUGGACUGGACACUUUUUAGAAGAUCAGGGAGUUUUGCAACGAGGAGGCUAUGGACAUCAUAUGCCCUGCAUCAAAGUCAAGGGCAGGACAGAAACAGGCUCUCCGAAUAUGUGGUUCUGACAGACCAGUCAUCAGCACUAUCCGCAGUGCCUCUAUUCAAAUGACUCUCCUGCUACUAUUUUUUUUAUUUUAUCCUACUGCCCAGCCACUUUACCCCUGAUUGUAUGCAUACAACUACCUCGUCUAUCACUGAUAUCGUUGUUGAUAUUGUUCUUGUACAUACUGUAUAUUAUUUUAUUGACACUAUUUCUGAUAUUGUUACUAUGCCAGUAACCAUUUGGCUGUACCGUUUACACCUUCUGUAGCGACCCAUCCACUUAGCAAUACUUAGCAAUAUUCAUUUUAUAUAUCAAUAUUUUGCUAUGUGUGGUUGUAACAUGAUUUUGUAACAUACCACAACAAUAUCAUGUGACCGUAUCAACAUCACUCAGGUUGCAUGGCCUUAACUUAUGUAUGGAAUACUAUGUGAUAUAUUGAUUGAUUAUACUACUAAGUGUGUAACAGUAUAUAAAGUAUGCUAAUGCACUGGUGUGAAGGCUGGUGUGAAGGCAUUUGGGCAGUGGUAAGUAAAAAUACUUUAAAGUACUACAAGUAUUUCUUUACUAUUUAUAUUUUUUGGGAACUUUUAAUUCACUACAUUAUUUUCUUUCUUAAUGUACUUUUUACUCCAUACAUGUUCCUUAAAUUUUGACAGGAAAGUUGUCCAAUUCACACACUUAUCAAGAGAAAAUCCCUGGUCAUUGUUAAGGGAAUUUUUAUCAAUGAUGACUAAUUAUGUAUACAUUUCAAUCAGGACUGACUAGUCCAAAUGUUAUGUACUGUACAUGUAUGAAUUUUAUCUCUUGCUCCCAAUUGUAUAUAAUAUAUAAUAGUAUAAUAUAGUCAGGCGUUCAGAACAAUGCCUUGGUACAAAUGAAUGAACUAUCUCCAGAUGGCAGGGACGGACUAUCUCCAGACUGUCUAGAAUGCUAUCUACACUGACUGACCUUGGCUUUAGGCGAGGAGGGAAGGCUCAAGAACUAUAGGGCCUCUCUACCAGUGUCAAGAAGAGAUAGAACAUUUAGAAAACGCUGACGUCAUUUUCAGUUUAUAACCUGUGGCAAAAUGUGUAUGAAGCAGUACUCUCUUGAAUUAAAUGCUGUUACCUGACUUUUAAGACCGGGGCUCCGUCCAUUCUUAU